This 370-nucleotide ribosomal RNA is filed under the name uncultured eukaryote. Its description in RNAcentral is "partial 18S ribosomal RNA". It matches the Rfam family "Eukaryotic small subunit ribosomal RNA", at positions 592 to 976 of the family's 1831-position model. The record is from RNAcentral.
CAAUAGCGUAUAUUAAAGUUGUUGCAGUUAAAAAGCUCGUAGUUGGAUUUCUGGUCGGAAGCUCCUGUCCUCUGAUGAGCGUACAAGUGCGUCCUACCAUCCUUCUGUUAACCUUUAAGGCUUUCGCGGCUUUCUAGGGGCUCAGAUAUUUUACCUUGAGAAAAUUAGAGUGUUUCAGGCAGGCUAGCGCCGGAAUACAUUAGCAUGGAAUAAUGGAAUAGGACUUUUGCCUCUUCUGUUGGUCAUGAGGCUCGAGUAAUGAUUAAUAGGGAUAGUUGGGGGUAUUAGUACUUAACUGUCAGAGGUGAAAUUCUCGGAUUUGUUAAAGACUAACUUAUGCGAAAGCAUUUGCCAAGGAUGUUUUCAUUAA